CGUAGGUGGCAAGCGUUGUCCGGAUUUAUUGGGUUUAAAGGGUGCGUAGGCGGUCCUAUAAGUCAGUGGUGAAAUACGGCAGCUCAACUGUCGAGGUGCCAUUGAUACUGCAGGACUAGAGUACUGAUGAGGUAGGCGGAAUGGACGGUGUAGCGGUGAAAUGCUUAGAUAUCGUCCAGAACACCGAUAGCGAAGGCAGCUUACUAAAGAGUAACUGACGCUGAGGCACGAAAGUGUGGGGAUCAAACAGGAUUAGAUACCCUGGUAGUCCACACUGUAAACGUUGAUCACUAGAUGUUGGCGAUACACUGCCAGCGUUCCAGCAAAAGCGAUAAGUGAUCCACCGUGGGGAUACGCCCGCAAGGGUG
This 368-nucleotide ribosomal RNA is filed under the name uncultured organism. RNAcentral describes it as "bacterial SSU rRNA". It matches the Rfam family "Bacterial small subunit ribosomal RNA", at positions 526 to 896 of the family's 1533-position model. The record is from RNAcentral.